This 253-nucleotide ribosomal RNA is filed under the name uncultured bacterium. RNAcentral describes it as "partial 16S ribosomal RNA". It matches the Rfam family "Bacterial small subunit ribosomal RNA", at positions 524 to 776 of the family's 1533-position model. The record is from RNAcentral.
UACGUAGGGUGCGAACGUUAAUCUGAAUUACUGGGCGUAAAGCGUGCGCAGGCGGUUAUGUAAGACAGAGGUGAAAUCCCCGGGCUCAACCUUGGAACUGCCUUUGUGACUGCAUGAAUAGAGUACGGCAGAGGGGGAUGGAAUUCCGCGUGUAGCAGUGAAAUGCGUAGAUAUGGGGAGGAACACCGAUGGCGAAGGCAAUCCCCUGGGCCUGUACUGACGCUCAUGCACGAAAGCGUGGGGAGCAAACAGG